Transfer RNA from Strigamia maritima, 71 nucleotides. It matches the Rfam family "tRNA". From Rfam's summary of the family: Transfer RNA (tRNA) molecules are approximately 80 nucleotides in length. Their secondary structure includes four short double-helical elements and three loops (D, anti-codon, and T loops). The record is from Rfam. Lineage: Eukaryota; Metazoa; Arthropoda; Chilopoda; Geophilomorpha; Linotaeniidae.
UCCCAGAUAGCUUAAUGGUAAAGCACCCAACCGACAAUUGGGGGAUCUGGGUUCAUAUCUCGGUCCGGGGU